UUUAAUUUUCCGGGAAAAUCCAAGAUACUUGGCAUUAAGACCGUACAUUUUUAGCGACCUCCGUAAGGGGAAAUGCCGCUUUUAGUUUUGUGCAAAAUGUCCGUCUGUCCGUCUGUCACACUCAGAUCUCAAAAACUAGAAGAGAAAUAAAAAAUAUUAGGCCUUUUUCACCAUGCGGCUUUCUUCUAAAAGUAAACCGUGUUUUUGACCCCCUUUCGAAUGUAGUAAUAUGACAAUAGAUCUAGGUUUAACUUUUCAAUGCUAUUAAGAUUUCAUUGUUUUGAAAGUGUUACACAGUUACCAUUCCUUGCCCUCGUUCUCUUUCAACGUUAGCAGUCCUAACCUUAGAUUUAAUUUUCCGGGAAAAAUCUAAGAUACCUGGCCUUAAGAACGUACAUUUGUAUCUUUUUUGUGUGUCCAUCUUGCUAGCCCUGACACACUAGCAGACGCCCUCUCUCGUUUAUCAUUUUGCAUCGUUUAGUAUUUGAUAAUAGGGUGCAUGUAGAACGGCCCUUUUUGUUCUAGACACUUUAGAAUAUCUCUUUUCAGUCAUUUCAUUAGAACAAUAGGAUGACAAGAGUCUGACUGAUCUAAAGAUCCAUAAUCGCAGACAUGGCAACGAUGAAGCGACUACUUUUAGUUGGCAGGGGAGGUAAUGGCCUAACAUCAUGUGCAAAGUCAAUUAACGAUGUACAAACUGACUACACUCCCUUUCGAACGUGGGCAAUAGAAUGUCCCGGAGUAGGGGACACAGGAGAUGACCGCAGAGAGAGCAUCGAAUGUACCCGAUAUAAACUAAAGGAGAUACUUAAGGAGUACAACAAAGAUGGAGGUUUCAACGCCAUAGCACUUGUCUUGAAAUAUGGCACAAGAUUCACCAAGCAGGAAAAGGACGCCGUAGAAGAAGUGAAACUGAUGUUUGGGGCAAACGUGUUUCAGAAGCACGGGAUAAUAAUCAUGAGCUACGGAGAUCUAUUUGGGCGGAUCGAUGAGACAGACGGGCCUACUUUUAUGGAUUGGGUAACGGAGCAGAGAGGCGACGUGGAGAAGCUGUUUAAAGAAGUCAGACGUAAAGUAUAUUUACUAGACAAUAAAACAAAUGACAUGGAAAUUAAAAGAUGCCAAUACAAUAACCUGAUCGAGUGUUUCGGAUAUUUAUCUGAACCGUACACAUUACAAGAUUUUGAAAAUGCUAGACGGGAAAACCUAAGCGCUGAUACGUCUUAUAAUGAUUCACAUUUUCCCCAGGGAGGACGCUCACGUUAUCAGUUAACACAUUUUGUUAAAGACAACCCUAAAAAUGUAUUGGUUUUGAUUUCGUUUUUAGUUUUCGCUGUACUUGUCUUCUUUUUCUUUAUCUUGUCCAUUUCUAAAACAUGUUAAUGACGAAAUCAAGGGUUAAUUAAUCCAAUUUCUAAUUGAGCUAUUUAAUAACAAGACAUCCACUUCAGUAUAUCAGUAAUUGAACGUUAUAGUCUGUUUAAAAAAAUGUCUUUGGAUUGGUUUAUAGAUAAAAUACAAAUAAUAUUUUUUUUACAAAGAUUAUACCAACUUUCUCCGUGUUGCUGUCUGUUUUAUACAAAUUUUGUUCACCUUAUUUAUUCCACUUCCCAUUCUCGGAUUAAGCCCUUAGUUAACUCUUCUUUGAAAGGAAGAAUAGAGUACAUUUUUUUUUCUUCUUCUGCGAUUCAUUUGUCUGUUGUAAAGUUUUUCCCUUUUUGUUUUUCAAAAAAAAUCUUUGCUUUAAUUACAAAAGAAUGUCAUCGCUCCAUCGCAAAGUAAAGGUCAUUUUCGGGGCUGUAUUUAAAUUUUGACUAUUGAUUUCUUCAUCCCCAAAAGUAGAGAAAAUAAUGGGCACUUGCGCUACAACUGCGCCUAAAAAUAGGAGACAUAGAGCUGGAUUCUCAGACCAUAGACCAAGUAGAUAAUUUUAUAUACCUAGGGAGUGUAGUCAGUGUAUCAGGUGGAACAGAUGAAGACAAUAAACGUCGAAUAAAUUUAGCGCGUCAGACAUUUACAGACCUAAAACCUGAAAAUCUCUUCACAUCUCUAACAAGACUAAAACAAGAAUCUCUAACUCUAAUGUCCUACUGUAUGGUUCUGAAACACGGAGAACAACUGAAGCAACAGCAGCCAAAAAAUUACAGACCUUCAUCAACAAAUGCCUGAGAAGUAUCUUACAAAAUACACUUGUAAGACAAAACAGAAAACACCAAACUGUUGGAGAUGGGUGAACAGAGACUUGCAGGGGUGCAGAUACAAAAAGAGCAUACCAAAUAUAACAUUUUCUGAUAAAAAAAAAAAUUUAUUGAAGUUUAAUCAGAACAGGAUAUUGAAAUGCAAAUGAGCAAAAGGAAUAAUUCUAUCAAAACGAGGAAAAUGAUUACGGAGAGAAAGAGUUAACAGCAGAGUUGAAGAAAACUGGUCAAGGUGAAAUCCGACGCAAUUAUUCAUUGUCCCUGACAACACAUGACUCAAUUCCAAAAUAACAAUAAUGUUAAUUUUUAGCGCUUUUUUUUUAUUUAAAAAAAGGAAACAUAUCUUACAUUAUUACGAUAUUUGCUGUAAAUGUGCAACUCUUUCCCUUACAUAAUAUUUUUAAAAGUAUUAUUUAAAUAUUUCGCAUGUUCAUUUAAAUGUUAUUUGGUAGCAGAUAACAAAAGACUAAAUACAAUAAAUGAAAAUAAAAAUGAAGAUCAUGUUUUAUUCCUUGUAGAAUAACAACAAUAUUGAUGUUCCAAAAUAUGUACAUUUCUUGCACCACUGUAAAUGUGUGAUUUCCAAUAUGUAUCGCUGGUAUUUCUUCGACAUCUUGUGCCAGGAUAAUAGUCUUGGAGAUGCUUAUUGUAAGGUUUGAUGGAUGCUUAAUCUGUAUUGUAGUCAAACUGUAGAUUCUUGUCAAAUUAUGACUAUUAACUCUUUCUCUCCGUAAUUAUUUUUCCACGUUUUGAAGGAAUUCUUCAUUUGGCUCA
Biomphalaria glabrata is the source of this 2972-nucleotide RNA transcript. RefSeq lists it as uncharacterized. The transcript has 2 exons. The record is from RefSeq and is a predicted model, not a curated record. Lineage: Eukaryota; Metazoa; Mollusca; Gastropoda; Planorbidae.